UACGGGGGGGGCAAGCGUUGUUCGGAAUUACUGGGCGUAAAGGGCUCGUAGGUGGCCAACUAAGUCAGACGUGAAAUCCCUCGGCUUAACCGGGGAACUGCGUCUGAUACUGGAUGGCUUGAGUUUGGGAGAGGGAUGCGGAAUUCCAGGUGUAGCGGUGAAAUGCGUAGAUAUCAGGAGGAACACCGGUGGCGAAGGCGGGUCUCUGGGCCGAUACUGACGCUGAGGAGCGAAAGCGUGGGGAGCGAACAGG
RNAcentral lists this ribosomal RNA (253 nucleotides) under uncultured bacterium. RNAcentral describes it as "partial 16S ribosomal RNA". It matches the Rfam family "Bacterial small subunit ribosomal RNA", at positions 524 to 776 of the family's 1533-position model. The record is from RNAcentral.